Molecule: non-coding RNA, 1638 nt
Organism: Doryrhamphus excisus (bluestripe pipefish)
Lineage: Eukaryota; Metazoa; Chordata; Actinopteri; Syngnathiformes; Syngnathidae
Source: RefSeq, a predicted model, not a curated record
AUGUGUCUUCGAUCAUUUUCCUGACAUUUGAGUAAUUUGGCACCGAGUAACAGGAAGCAACAAUAAUUUUGGCUGCGAACCUAGCCAAUGAUUGGUCAAACCGACGUCACGUGAUUUCACCGAAAGCCGCUCCACCAUUUUUCCUUAUGUGGCCACAAGGGGCGCUAGAAGACUUCGGCUUUGCGCGUAACCAGUUAAUGAGUGACGUCACCUACAAGCUAAAUUCUUGAGUUAAAUUUUAGAACGAGCAAGGUGUGUUUCCUCAUUGACUGUCAUGUCGUGAUUGCUAGUCAAGCCAGUGCUCAUCACUUUCUCUUUCUACAAACACCGUUUUAUUCUACACUUGUGACAGCUGAUCAUGAACUUGUUUUUAUUCUUUCUUCUGGCUGUGGAAAUUCACAGCGUGGCGCCUGUGAUGCACACCCUGGAGCAUAUCUACAUGGUGUCCUCUGAAGUUACAAACAUUCCAGAUUAUGUGAACAAUGGUUACGUUGAUGAAGUUGAGAUGUACAACUACAACAGCAACAGCAGGAGAAGAGAACCCAAACAGGACUGGAUGAAGAACAUCACAGCAGGGGACAGGUUUCUUCCGCAGUUCUACAGAAAUUAUCUGGAAACUGCAAAGAGGAGCUUCAACCAAACUGGAGGUGUUCACGUUCUCCAGGUGACGCUCGGCUGUGAAUGGGAUGAAGAUACUGACGAGAGUGAAGGUUGGUUUCAGGCCGGGUACGAUGGAGAAGACAUCCUAUCAUUGGACAUGAAGACUUGGACGUGGACUGCAGCAAAACCACAAGCUGUCCCCACCAAAGACAUGUUGGACCAAAACAAAGCUCAACUAGACUAUGCAAAGUAUUUCUUCACUGAAGAGUGUCCGCAAAACUUGAAGAGAUUUGUGAACUAUGGCAGGAAGGUUCUAAUGAGAAGAGAGCUUCCAGAGGUGUUUCUCCUCCAGAAGACGCCGUCCUCGCCGGUCAGCUGCUUGGCAACAGGUUUCUACCCCAACAGAGCGGUCUUGUUUUGGAGGAAAGACGGCCAGGAGAUCCACCAGGACGUGGCGCACGGAGAGCUCCUCCCCAACCACGACGGAACCUUCCAGAUGACCGUGGACCUGGAUGUGGAUGUGACGGCCGACGUGGAGGGCAAGUAUGAAUGUGUGUUUCAGCUGUCUGGCGUCAAGGAGGACAUGGUCACCAAGCUGGAGAGAAGAAGCAUCCUGAGCAAUGCAAGCCGUGAAGACAAAUGGAGCAUCACCGUUGUGGCGGUCCUCGUUGUGGCCGUCCUCAUUGGGGCGGUCCUCGUUGUGGCGGUCAUUGUCAUCAUUGUCAAGCGUCUCAAGAACAGACAAGGCUGCAAAGGUGCAGCCAUGUUUGACUUGACUUGAGGAGCUUCCACUCAAAGAUCCACAGAGACAGAGCACACACUCGCACACACAAACACGCACCGUGAGGACAAAGUGCACGUCACCUUCUUUCUCUUUCAUUUCAGUCAACUACGAUCCAGCUGCUCGUGACGGUGGCAUCGAGCUCUGAGAGAGGCUGAAGGCUGAGUUAGCUCACAUGGACUGUUUGCACCCCCAAAUGUUCUUCUGACUGUUUUUUUUGGAUCAUCAAGACGUUCUGUCUUUGUGUGUAAACCAAG